CCUGAACGCUGGCGGCGUGGCUAAGACAUGCAAGUCGAACGGGACCCGCAAGGGUUCAGUGGCGGACGGGUGAGUAAUGUAUCGCUAACGUACCCCGGAGCCUGGGAUAGCCGGCCGAAAGGCCGGGUAAUACCAGAUAAUAUCCUGAGGUCGCAUGGCCUUGGGCUCAAAGCAGCAAUGCACUCUGGGAGCGGGCGAUAUCGUAUCAGCUAGUUGGUGAGGUAACGGCUCACCAAGGCGACGACGCGUAGCUGGUCUGAGAGGACGACCAGCCACAUUGGGACUGAGACACUGCCCAGACUCCUACGGGGGGCUGCAGUAACGAAUCUUCCGCAAUGCACGAAAGUGUGACGGAGCGACGCCGCGUGUGGGACGAAGUCCCUCGGGAUGUAAACCACUGUUAGGGGAAAGAAAGUUCUGAUCUACCCCAAAGAAAGGCACGGCUAACUCUGUGCCAGCAGCCGCGGUAAGACAGAGGUGCCAAGCGUUAGGCGGAAUCACUGGGCUUAAAGCGUGUGUAGGCGGAUCGUUAAGUGCUUUGUGAAAUCCCCCGGCUCAACCGGGGAACUGCUUGGCAUACUGGCGGUCUUGAGCCACCUAGGGGCAACUGGAACAAGCGGUGGAGCGGUGAAAUGCGUAGAUAUCGCUUGGAACGCCAAAGGUGAAAACAGGUUGCUGGGGGUGUGCUGACGCUGAGACACGAAAGCCAGGGGAGCAAACGGGAUUAGAUACCCCGGUAGUCCUGGCCCUAAACGAUGUCCACUAGAUCGUGGCGGCUCUGACGUCGUCACGGUCGAAGCCAAAGUGCUAAGUGGACCGCCUGGGAAGUACGGUCGCAAGGCUA
This 844-nucleotide ribosomal RNA is filed under the name uncultured bacterium. RNAcentral's name for it is "bacterial SSU rRNA". It matches the Rfam family "Bacterial small subunit ribosomal RNA", at positions 28 to 896 of the family's 1533-position model. The record is from RNAcentral.